CCUCGGGUUGUAAACUGCUUUUGUACAGAACGAAAAAGCUCUGGUUAAUACCUGGAGUCCAUGACGGUACUGUAAGAAUAAGCACCGGCUAACUACGUGCCAGCAGCCGCGGUAAUACGUAGGGUGCAAGCGUUAAUCGGAAUUACUGGGCGUAAAGCGUGCGCAGGCGGUGAUGUAAGACAGUUGUGAAAUCCCCGGGCUCAACCUGGGAACUGCAUCUGUGACUGCAUCGCUGGAGUUUGGCAGAGGGA
Molecule: ribosomal RNA, 251 nt
Filed under: uncultured bacterium
Lineage: Bacteria
Description: partial 16S ribosomal RNA
Rfam family: Bacterial small subunit ribosomal RNA
Source: RNAcentral